RNAcentral lists this ribosomal RNA (254 nucleotides) under uncultured bacterium. Its description in RNAcentral is "partial 16S ribosomal RNA". It matches the Rfam family "Bacterial small subunit ribosomal RNA", at positions 793 to 1055 of the family's 1533-position model. The record is from RNAcentral.
GUCCACACCGUAACGAUGAUUACUAGGUGUUGGAGGAUUGACCCUUCAGUGCCGCAGUUAACACAAUAAGUAAUCCACCUGGGAGUACGACCGCAAGGUUGAACUCAAGGAAUUGACGGGCCCGCACAAGCAGUGGAGUAUGUGGUUUAAUUCGACGCAACGCGAAGAACCUUACCAAGUCUUGACAUCCUGCGACGAUGCUGGAAACAGUAUUUUCCUUCGGGACGCAGAGACAGGUGGUGCAUGGUUGUCGU